Molecule: ribosomal RNA, 582 nt
Filed under: uncultured bacterium
Lineage: Bacteria
Description: bacterial SSU rRNA
Rfam family: Bacterial small subunit ribosomal RNA
Source: RNAcentral
GAGUUUGAUCAUGGCUCAGGACGAACGCUGGCGGCGUGCCUAACACAUGCAAGUCGAGCGAUGAAGCCCUUCGGGGUGGAUUAGCGGCGGACGGGUGAGUAACACGUGGGUAACCUGCCUCAAAGUGGGGGAUAGCCUCCCGAAAGGGAGAUUAAAACCGCAUAAUAUUAGAUUUUCGCAUGAAGAACUAAUUAAAGGAGUAAUCCGCUUUGAGAUGGACCCGCGGCGCAUUAGCUAGUUGGUGAGGUAAAGGCUCACCAAGGCGACGAUGCGUAGCCGACCUGAGAGGGUGAUCGGCCACAUUGGAACUGAGACACGGUCCAGACUCCUACGGGAGGCAGCAGUGGGGAAUAUUGCACAAUGGGCGAAAGCCUGAUGCAGCAACGCCGCGUGAGUGAUGAAGGCCUUCGGGUUGUAAAGCUUUGUCUUUGGGGACGAUAAUGACGGUACCCAAGGAGGAAGCCACGGCUAACUACGUGCCAGCAGCCGCGGUAAUACGUAGGUGGCGAGCGUUGUCCGGAUUUACUGGGCGUAAAGGAUGCGUAGGUGGAUGUUUAAGUCAGAUGUGAAAUACCCGAGCUU